UACAGCUUCAAGGCGCUGUUCACGAUG
RNAcentral lists this non-coding RNA (27 nucleotides) under Homo sapiens (human). The record is from RNAcentral. Lineage: Eukaryota; Metazoa; Chordata; Mammalia; Primates; Hominidae.